UGUUAAAAAUUUCCUCCAUUUGUAAAGUUAAAACCUGACAUAGUUGAUGGAAUAAUCAGGAAGUGAUACGUGAUGUGCCACGUGUACCUCACACUGACGUACAAGAACCAAUUUUUAAUAGUAGAAAUGGAUGUAAUUUUCAAUA
Molecule: non-coding RNA, 145 nt
Organism: Gossypium raimondii (Peruvian cotton)
Lineage: Eukaryota; Viridiplantae; Streptophyta; Magnoliopsida; Malvales; Malvaceae
Source: Rfam